UUGUGUCUCUUAAUGCUGUUCAGUG
RNAcentral lists this non-coding RNA (25 nucleotides) under Cricetulus griseus (Chinese hamster). Lineage: Eukaryota; Metazoa; Chordata; Mammalia; Rodentia; Cricetidae. The record is from RNAcentral.